RNAcentral lists this ribosomal RNA (435 nucleotides) under uncultured eukaryote. Its description in RNAcentral is "bacterial SSU rRNA". It matches the Rfam family "Eukaryotic small subunit ribosomal RNA", at positions 1228 to 1673 of the family's 1831-position model. The record is from RNAcentral.
ACACGGUAAGGAUUGACGGACUGAAGGCUCUUUCUCGAUUCCGUGGAAAGUGGUGCAUGGCCGUUUUUGGUUGGUGGAUCGAUCCGUCUGGUUAAUUCCGUUAACGAACGAGACCUCGGCACUCCGAAUAGCGCGGCGGACGUCGCGGCCUCCGGGCCGUCUUCCGCACGAGCUUCUUAGAGGGACCGUCCCCCGCCGGGGAAGGAGGUGCGAGGCAACGACAGGUCUGUGAUGCCCUUAGAUGUUCUGGGCCGCACGCGCAUUACACUGACGCGUCCAACGGGUGACUCCCGACCCGAAGGGGCCGGGGAAUCCGCAAGGCGCGUCGUGAUGGGGAUUGAACGUUGCAAUUGUUGUUCACGAACGAGGAAUUCCUAGUAGGCGCGGGGUCAUCAACCCGCGCCGAUUACGUCCCUGCCCUUUGUACACACCACC